Peromyscus maniculatus bairdii (prairie deer mouse) is the source of this 1248-nucleotide non-coding RNA. The record is from RefSeq and is a predicted model, not a curated record. NCBI's taxonomy places the organism in Eukaryota, Metazoa, Chordata, Mammalia, Rodentia, Cricetidae.
CCAACAGGCUAUGGGGCAUUUAUUCCGUGCCUUUAUGGUUAACCUAUAGACAUGGUGGCAACAUGAAGCAAACUACUUGGAAAAGAGAAUUGAGAGCAUAGAGAGACUAGACAGAGGCAGAAGGAACCUUUGGUACUUUUGUAAAACAGCAAGAGACAAAUGUUGUGGGAAUGUUGAGUCUUGGCAGGGGAUGGAGUGCUUCCUGCAGGAGUUCCUACAGAGCAGAUAUGGAGUCAAGGAUUUCUGAUGAUUAGUUUGGCAGAGAUCCAGGAAUUGUCCAGGCUGCAUUUUCUGACUUCCCAACUAUGAAGCAAGAGGUUGGUUGCACUGGACUUUGAGUAUCUAAUGAACAGUGCACCCAUAGAAGCAUGUGCUGUGGAAGAAAAACGGGAAGCGCUCUAGAAGAUUAAAGAAUAUUACUAAACUACCAAAUUCCCUGGAGGAGUUCAUGGAGUGUCACCUUAACUGAUAAUUUGCAGCCCUGGUACUAGUACCUGGAAACCACUGAACCUGGAUCUACCUGGACAAGGAGUCAACCAAGGCUGAUGAUGAAACCCAGAGAUGUGAAGUUCACAAUGUUGCUGCUGUAGUUGCUAGGAGUAGCUGGGUGCUGGGAACAAUGCAAGAAGAGCUUGCCAUGGUCACAGAGCUGAAAACUUGAUGCAGGAAAAAUGAGACAGAAAUCCACCUACAUUUUUAAAGGAUUUUCCUGCCCCCAGGUUGCCUUCUGAUUCUUUAUGCAUAAUCCAAUCUCCAGACCCUUGUUUGAGUCCCUAUACCUUCCAAAUACUUCUUGGUUGCCCAGCUUCCAUACUUAGCUUUCCAGGAGUCUUCAUUGCCUCUGAAAGUUCAAAUAUUGCGAUAGUCUUGGAUGUUCCUGAGACAGCACGGGUGAUCCUCAUAGGUGAGCUCCUUGGUAAUACUGGAAAUGUUAUAAGGCACAUAAUUUCAUUCCUGUUGGUUUGAAGCAUUUGCUAUUUUGUAUUUAAAACUCUUGUUAUAUUGGCUAUUAUGAGAAUUAUGGAGCUUGUUGAUAUUAUAAAUUAUUGCUGUUGUUAUAGAUUGUGGUUUUGGUCUGUUGGAAAGAGUUAUGUUAAUAACAUACAGAAUGGCAAAGACCUGCCAAACAACUGACAACAAGUGCUGGAGAGGAAGUGGGAAAAGAGUAAUGCCAUGAGCAAGAAAGAUAUGUGUAGUUAGUGUGACAAAAAUUAUAUUUUAAGAUGCUGGUGGUCAUCACACAAAGUU